RNAcentral lists this long non-coding RNA (1109 nucleotides) under Citrus x clementina. Its description in RNAcentral is "Citrus clementina (C. clementina) long non-coding RNA (CCLE_LNC004743)". The record is from RNAcentral. Lineage: Eukaryota; Viridiplantae; Streptophyta; Magnoliopsida; Sapindales; Rutaceae.
AAAAAUUAUAUAAUUAUCCAUUUUUAUUAUUAUUAAGCAAAACUAAAAGUUAAAGUUAAAAAAAAAGAAGGACAAGCUAAUGCGGGAGUUCCCGCAUUAGCGCGCCUCCCGAUGCUCAAUCCCAAUGAAGUUCAGCUGCUGCCAAACAUGUUAUUGGUUUAAAUUUAUGUUGGGCCCACAAUUAAUCCUAUGUAACACCACACACCAAACGCACCCGAAAGGUUGAAUUUGGAAGCCUCAAUUAUGGACCAGCAAACACUUAGGUCCACUUUCGGCAAAUUUGAAUUACCCCAUUAACGGGAGGAAAGCAAAUAAACUCCAUAUCAAGAAUAACAAACGACACAGGAAUAUGUUUGUGUACAGUGUAUAUGUGCAGUGGCAUCUUUUUCUAAUCAAUUGAUUUUUUUCUUUUUUGUUUAUUCAUUUACUAAUUAAGAAAAUCAAAGUAAUGUAGUAUGUAAGAAAAAUGUUUCAAGGCCAUGUUUGGUUUAAAGAAAGGGAAUGAGAGAAAAAAAAAGUGGAAUGGAAGGGAAGGGAGAAAAAAGGAGUGGGGGAAAAUAGUAAAAUUAAAUUUUAUUGUUUGGUUUGACAUAAAAUUUGAUAGGGAAAUGAAUUAUAAUUUUUUUCUUUGGACAAAUUUAUCAUUGGCCUUAAGUAUUAAAUUACUUAUAUUAGUAAUGAGCUAUAAUUUAAUAUCAAUACCGAACUUUUUUAAUGUCAAAAAGUCCUAAAACUAUUUAAGAUUUAUAUUUAAUAUAAAAUAUAAAAUAAUUUAAUAUACUAAACUAUUUAAUAUAAUUUAAUAUGAAAUAUAAUUUUUUUAAGCUAAUAUGAAAUAUAAUUUAAUAUAAAUAAAAGACAGUCAACGACGGUGGUCAACAGAAGUCAAUGGCAGCCAACGGCCGCUUUCCGGCGAAAUUCCGCGCAGCUUCCGGCAAUGGUCUAAGGAUCCGGUAGAGCUUUGGCGACAGUCCGGUGGAGGUCCGGGGAAGUUCUAGCGGCUGUCCGUGUGGAGUUCCGGUGAAGUUCUGCGAUGUUCCGGUGGAUCUCUAGGAAAUUUCAACAAAGUUCCGGUGACGGUUAAUUUAUAUUUUUAUAUUUUCAAAAUA